This 361-nucleotide ribosomal RNA is filed under the name Bradyrhizobium sp. 5.6. Its description in RNAcentral is "bacterial LSU rRNA". It matches the Rfam family "Bacterial large subunit ribosomal RNA", at positions 1 to 233 of the family's 2925-position model. Lineage: Bacteria; Pseudomonadati; Pseudomonadota; Alphaproteobacteria; Hyphomicrobiales; Nitrobacteraceae. The record is from RNAcentral.
UUGAUAAUGAGAGCAAUCAAGUGCCUUAAGGGUGUUCGGUGGAUGCCUUGGCGCUGAGAGGCGAUGAAGGACGUGCUACGCUGCGAUAAGCCGUGGGGAGCUGCGAAGAAGCUUUGAUCCGCGGAUUUCCGAAUGGGGAAACCCACCUUCGAUAGCCGGAACUCCAAGACCUUUGUCGAAAGACAUCGGUGUGGGGUUCGACCAGAUAAUGGAAGAAGCCAGGCCUUUAGAUUUCGAUCGAAGAGGUUUUGGAUUUCCGGUUAUCAAGAGAAGGUAUGAGACUUCUGAAUACAUAGGAGGUUUCAAGCAAACCCAGGGAACUGAAACAUCUAAGUACCUGGAGGAAAGGACAUCAACAGAG